RNAcentral lists this ribosomal RNA (301 nucleotides) under uncultured bacterium. RNAcentral describes it as "partial 16S ribosomal RNA". It matches the Rfam family "Bacterial small subunit ribosomal RNA", at positions 509 to 807 of the family's 1533-position model. The record is from RNAcentral.
CAGCCGCCGCGGUAAUACGUAGGUGGCAAGCGUUAUCCGGAAUUAUUGGGCGUAAAGCGCGCGUAGGCGGUUUUUUAAGUCUGAUGUGAAAGCCCACGGCUCAACCGUGGAGGGUCAUUGGAAACUGGAAAACUUGAGUGCAGAAGAGGAAAGUGGAAUUCCAUGUGUAGCGGUGAAAUGCGCAGAGAUAUGGAGGAACACCAGUGGCGAAGGCGACUUUCUGGUCUGUAACUGACGCUGAUGUGCGAAAGCGUGGGGAUCAAACAGGAUUAGAUACCCCCGUAGUCCCUGUCUCUUAUAC